This is a long non-coding RNA of Ictalurus furcatus (blue catfish), 520 nucleotides long. RefSeq lists it as uncharacterized. The record is from RefSeq and is a predicted model, not a curated record. NCBI's taxonomy places the organism in Eukaryota, Metazoa, Chordata, Actinopteri, Siluriformes, Ictaluridae. The transcript is spliced from 3 exons.
GAUGGAGAGUUAUGAUCGCUCAGGAGGGAUUAAUCUAGUGUCCUCAGAGCUUUGGAUAGUGAAGGAAUACGCAGAACUGCAGAGACAGAGUGGAAGACGGUAAUUACAUCUGAGUUUGACACUUUAACCCCUUUCGCCCCGACACUAGCGAUCAUUCCGCCGGCGGAAUAGAAAACGACUUAUCGGACAUUUUCAAUUAGUAUAAACAAAUGAGUUAUUGUAUCACCGCAGUUCUGCUACGAGAUUAGUCAGGACACUUGUGGCUUUCUGUAUGUACAGUUUUAUGUCUGUGUGCUUGACUGCUGGUGAGCAGGGGGAUGGGAAAGGGGCGGAGUUUCAGCUCCCUACUGGGCAAACAAUUCACACCUCUCCACGAAAACAUUGGGACAGAGAUAAAUCGGAGAGCAAGACUAAAGCUUUUUUGAUAGUAAAACACCGUAUACAACUGCCACAAUAAAAUUAUAACAUUUAAACCAAAGGUCGGACUUGUAGAAACGUUUACUACUUUACAUUACCUACA